AACGAACGCUGGCGGCGUGCUUAACACAUGCAAGUCGAACGGGUUUAAUGGAUGUAGCAAUACAUUCAUUAAAUUAGUGGCGCACGGGUGAGUAACACGUAGGUAACCUACCCUUCAGUGGGGGACAACAGAGGGAAACUUCUGCUAAUACCGCAUACGAUCACGGACUGGGAUGUUCGUGGUGAAAGGAUUUAUUCGCUGAGGGAUGGGCCUGCGGCCUAUCAGGUAGUUGGUGAGGUAAUGGCUCACCAAGCCUGCGACGGGUAGCCGGACUGAGAGGUCGAUCGGCCACACUGGAACUGAGACACGGUCCAGACUCCUACGGGAGGCAGCAGUGGGGAAUAUUGCACAAUGGGGGAAACCCUGAUGCAGCGACGCCGCGUGGAGGAUGACGGCCUUCGGGUUGUAAACGUCCUUUUGUCUAGGGACAAUGGUGAUGGUACCUGACGAAUAAGCCACGGCUAACUCUGUGCAGCAGCCGCGGUAAACGUAGACGUG
Molecule: ribosomal RNA, 498 nt
Filed under: uncultured bacterium
Lineage: Bacteria
Description: bacterial SSU rRNA
Rfam family: Bacterial small subunit ribosomal RNA
Source: RNAcentral